RNAcentral lists this unclassified non-coding RNA (211 nucleotides) under plant metagenome. RNAcentral's name for it is "partial contains small subunit ribosomal RNA, internal transcribed spacer 1, and 5.8S ribosomal RNA". The record is from RNAcentral.
UUUCCGUAGGUGAACCUGCGGAAGGAUCAUUCAUAAUAAAGUGUUUUAUGGCACUUUUUAAAAAUCCAUAUCCACCUUGUGUGCAAUGUUAGAUCUCGUCAAUCUGGUCGGGAUUUUUAUACAUCAACUCAUUCUUUAACUAAUUUGUCUGACAAAUAUUAUGAAUACUUACUUCAAAAUACAACUUUCAACAACGGAUCUCUUGGCUCUC